AGCGAACGCUGGCGGCAGGCUUAACACAUGCAAGUCGAGCGGGCACUUUCGGGUGUCAGCGGCUGACGGGUGGGUAACGCGUGGGAACGUGCGCUCUGGUUCGGAAUAACUCAGUGAAACUUGAGCUAAUACCGGAUACGCCCUUUUGGGGAAAGGCUUGCUGCCGGAGGAUCGGCCCGCGUCUUAUUAGCUAGUUGGUGAGGUAACGGCUCACCAAGGCGACGAUCAGUAGCUGGGCUGAGAGGAUGAUCAGCUACACUGGGACUGAGACACGGCCCAGACUCCGACGGGAGGCAGCAGUGGGGAAUAUUGGACAAUGGGCGCAAGCCUGAUACAGCCAUGCCGCGUGAGUGAUGAAGGCCUUAGGGUUGUAAAGCUCUUUUAUCCGGGACGAUAAUGACGGUACCGGAGGAAUAAGCCCCGGCUAACUUCGUG
RNAcentral lists this ribosomal RNA (435 nucleotides) under uncultured bacterium. RNAcentral describes it as "partial 16S ribosomal RNA". It matches the Rfam family "Bacterial small subunit ribosomal RNA", at positions 29 to 507 of the family's 1533-position model. The record is from RNAcentral.